RNAcentral lists this ribosomal RNA (253 nucleotides) under uncultured bacterium. Its description in RNAcentral is "partial 16S ribosomal RNA". It matches the Rfam family "Bacterial small subunit ribosomal RNA", at positions 524 to 776 of the family's 1533-position model. The record is from RNAcentral.
UACGAAGGGGGCUAGCGUUGUUCGGAAUUACUGGGCGUAAAGCGCACGUAGGCGGACAUUUAAGUCAGGGGUGAAAUCCCGGGGCUCAACCCCGGAACUGCCUUUGAUACUGGGUGUCUUGAGUGUGGAAGAGGCGAGUGGAAUUGCGAGUGUAGAGGUGAAAUUCGUAGAUAUUCGCAGGAACACCAGUGGCGAAGGCGGCUCACUGGUCCACAACUGACGCUGAGGUGCGAAAGCGUGGGGAGCAAACAGG